RNA transcript from Hevea brasiliensis (rubber tree), 1894 nucleotides. It is a transcript of the gene named carbon catabolite repressor protein 4 homolog 5, with no coding region annotated. Lineage: Eukaryota; Viridiplantae; Streptophyta; Magnoliopsida; Malpighiales; Euphorbiaceae. The transcript has 15 exons. The record is from RefSeq and is a predicted model, not a curated record.
ACCCGGCCGUGAUUAUAAUUGUUGGGCCUACUUUCAUUCUGUUAACCGGACUUCUGCACGGGCUACUGCCAAACGAAAUUCCUGGCAACAUGAGGGAAAGCAAACGGCGAGCUAAUCCGGCGAAACAAUCAGAUACCAAUGCUCGAAACAAGCGCAAGUAUUUCGAUGGCAUGGAGCGACAUGAUCACGAAACUGAUGGAAAGAGGAAAAGAUUAGUGUUGAGGACCGAAACCCUAACUGUUAAGCCCCAUUGCUGGUAUCCGAAUUUUCGAACAUCGAAUAGGUUUAGACCAAUUCACGCCUCAUCCUCACGAAGGCGUAAUAAUAAGCAUUACCGGAGCAGAAGUUCGAGUAUUGGCGAGUGUCAUCGUAGAUGGGUCUUCUCUGGCGGCGAUUUCUCUGCCUAUAGAGAUAGGGUCGUUGUUGUCUCAUACAAUAUACUAGGUGUUGAAAAUGCAUCAAAGCACCCAGAUUUGUAUUCCAGAAUCCCACCUGAGUUCUUGGAGUGGGAUCGGCGGAAGGAGCUCAUAUGUAAGGAGAUUAAUCAUUAUAAUGCAGGCAUCCUAUGUUUCCAGGAGGUUGAUCAUUUCAAUGAUUUAGAUUAUCUUCUUCAAAAGGAUGGCUUUAGAGGAGUUUACAAGGCCCGCACAGGUGAAGCAUGUGAUGGCUGCGCUAUAUUUUGGAAGGACAAACUAUUUACCCUUUUGCAUGAAGAAAAUAUAGAGUUCCAGAGUUUUGGCCUCCGUAACAAUGUUGCUCAACUUUGUGUUUUAAAGAUGAAUGAAAAUCAACUGAUGUCUGACCUGUGUAAGCAAACAUCAAAGGCAACAGCUACCCAAAGUCGAAGAUUAGUGGUUGGCAAUGUGCAUGUUCUCUUUAACCCGAACCGUGGAGACAUCAAGCUUGGCCAGGUUCGGCUAUUUCUUGAGAGAGCUUACAAGUUAUCACAAGAAUGGGGUAGCCUCCCUGUUAUAAUUGGUGGAGAUCUAAAUAGCCUUCCUGAGAGUGCCAUAUACCAGUUUUUGGCUUCAUCUGAGCUGGAUGUCCUAGUUCAUGACCGCAGAAACAUUUCUGGACAGCUUGAAUAUCCACCACAGCACAAAUACUUCAGAUCACAGGAUGAGAUUGCCAAGAGAAAUAGCUUGUCCAACUCAAGGCCAUUAAUGCAUAUAUGGAGCGAUGAAGAAUUAAUUCUUGCUACAGGUAGCAAAGAAGUCACUCGACUUUGUCAUCAAUUAAAGCUCUGUAGUGCAUAUCUCGGGGUUCCAGGGAGCCAUAGAUCAAGAGACAAUUGUGGAGAACCAUUAGCAACAUCAUACCACUCCAAGUUUAUGGGAACUGUUGAUUAUAUUUGGCACACUAAGGAACUCAUUCCUGUCAGAGUUCUUGAAACCGUACCCAUUGACAUUUUGAGAAGAUGUGCAGGGCUUCCUAAUGAGAAAUGGGGAAGUGAUCAUCUUGCCCUUGUGUGUGAACUAGCCUUUGCAGACGAAGACAACAUGACCUGAGUCUUCAAUUGCAGAAGUGCUGACAUGAUAAAAUUUUCAGCCUCUUUUACAACCAGCAUGAAGCAAGAAGGUGGACUUUGUUAUUUGACAAAUGACACACAGGACAAGGACAACGCACACCCUUUAGCAAAACCAUAGGCAAAAAGGGGGGCUUGAACUCAGCUGCUAGCUUGAAGUUGUAGGGCAUAAUCAAGAGCUGACUGGUUAAAACUAUCAUUUAUUAAUGGGGUGUGGUGAUGACUAUCCACCUAACCCCUUUAAUUAAAGAGCAUUAAUCAUAUUUAAUUUCUUUCUAUUCUACAUUCUCAGCACAUGGAAAAGUCAGAUACAUGACAUGUAGAUAAUUCUAGGGGAAUUUAGAAUUUGAUGUUAGAGUUUUUGCCUUA